GUGCAAAUCAAUAUAAUUUGAUAGAAAAAAUUUAUUUUUAUUAUUUGUAUUUUUUAUUUAAUAAAAACAAUUUUAUAACAAUUUUAGUAUAGUUUAUAGAAAAAAUUAUUAUUAUUAUAGUUAAUUAGUAUUGUGAAUGAAAAUUGAUAUAGUUUUUAUUAAAAUAUAAGUAAUAUUUAUUUUUUGUACCUUGUGUAUCAGGGUUUAUUAAUAAAAAUUUAUUUAAUUAAGAUUUUCGAAUUUAAGUGAGCUAGUUUAAUUUUAUUUUUAUUAUUUCAUUAAUAUAUUUAAUAUUAAAUUGGCAAUGAAAAGUUAUUCGUACUUAAAGAUAUCUAGUUUUCUUAGAAAUGAAUUUAAUUCAGAUAUUAUGAAUAUAUAUUAUUUAUUUUUUAAUAGUAUAUGUAUAUAAUAUUAAUAAUUAAAGGGAUAAGCUUUUAAUUAAAGUUUUAUAAAUUAUAAAAUUUAAUAGAAAUUGUAAGUUUAGAAAUAUCUAUCAGUUUAGUUUGUUAUAAUUAAUUUAAUUUUCUAUUAUUAUUUCAUAUAAUUUUAAGUUUUUAUAAGAAAUUUUAUUAUAAUUAUUAAUAUAAAGUUAUAAUGAUAAAAUUAGUAUAAUUAAAUAUAAAAAUAAAUUUAAUUAUGAGAUUAACUAAAGGAAUUCGGCAAAUAAUAUUACUCGCCUGUUUAACAAAAACAUGUCCUUUUGAAAAUUAUUUAAGGUCUAGUCUGCCCAAUGAUUUUAUUUAAUGGCCGCAGUAUAUUGACUGUGCAAAGGUAGCGUAAUCAUUAGUUUUUUAAUUGAAAGCUUGUAUGAAAGGCUUGACGAGGUAAUUACUGUCUCUGUUUAAAAUUUUUAGAAUUUAACUUUUGAGUAAAAAGGCUUAAAUUAAAAUAAAAGACGAGAAGACCCUAUAGAUCUUUAUAUUUAAUUGAUUUAAGUUAUUUAAGUAUUAAUAAUUAAUUUAAUUUAAUUAUAUAUUUUAUUGGGGUAAUAUAAAGAUUUAAUAAAUUCUUUAUUUUAUAAACAUUAAUUAAUGAUUUAAUGAUCCGUAUUUAACGAUUAGAAGAUUAAGUUACCUUAGGGAUAACAGCGUAAUGUUUUUUGAGAGUUCAUAUCGACAGAAAAGAUUGCGACCUCGAUGUUGGAUUAAAAAUUAUUUUAGGUGCAGAAGCUUAAAAAUUUGGUCUGUUCGACCAUUAAAUUUUUACAUGAUCUGAGUUCAGACCGGCGUAAGCCAGGUCGGUUUCUAUCUUUAUUUAAUUAGAAUAUUUUAGUACGAAAGGACCAAUUAUUUAAUAUAUUAAUAUUUAUAUUUAUUGAAUAUUAUUAUUACUUUGGCAGAUUAGUGCAAUGAAUUUAGAUUUCAUGUAUGUAA
This 1373-nucleotide ribosomal RNA is filed under the name Pogonostoma subtiligrossum. RNAcentral's name for it is "16S ribosomal RNA". The stretch from base 1081 to 1239 matches the Rfam family "Archaeal large subunit ribosomal RNA", at positions 2542 to 2701 of the family's 2987-position model. The record is from RNAcentral. Lineage: Eukaryota; Metazoa; Arthropoda; Insecta; Coleoptera; Carabidae.